GCGCCCGUAGCUCAGUGGAUAGAGCGCCCGCCUCCGGAGCGGGAGGCCGCAGGUUCGAAUCCUGCCGGGCGCG
This 73-nucleotide transfer RNA is filed under the name Actinomycetes bacterium. RNAcentral describes it as "tRNA-Arg". It matches the Rfam family "tRNA". Rfam says of the family: Transfer RNA (tRNA) molecules are approximately 80 nucleotides in length. Lineage: Bacteria; Bacillati; Actinomycetota; Actinomycetes. The record is from RNAcentral. RNAcentral also lists the same sequence under 3 other names.